RNAcentral lists this ribosomal RNA (450 nucleotides) under uncultured bacterium. RNAcentral's name for it is "partial 16S ribosomal RNA". It matches the Rfam family "Bacterial small subunit ribosomal RNA", at positions 354 to 796 of the family's 1533-position model. The record is from RNAcentral.
GUGGGGAAUAUUCCGCAAUGGACGAAAGUCUGACGGAGCAACGCCGCGUGAGUGAUGAAGGUUUUCGGACUGUAAAGCUCUGUUGUUUAGGACGAAAGUGCCUGCUGCGAACAGUUGCAGGUAUUGACGGUACUGAACGAGGAAGCCACGGCUAACUACGUGCCAGCAGCCGCGGUAAUACGUAGGUGGCAAGCGUUGUCCGGAAUUAUUGGGCGUAAAGAGCAUGUAGGCGGGAAUCUAAGUCUGUUGUGAAAAUGCGGGGCUCAACCCCGUAUGGCGAUGGAAACUGGAUUUCUUGAGUGCAGGAGAGGAAAGGGGAAUUCCCAGUGUAGCGGUGAAAUGCGUAGAUAUUGGGAGGAACACCAGUGGCGAAGGCGCCUUUCUGGACUGUGUCUGACGCUGAGAUGCGAAAGCCAGGGUAGCGAACGGGAUUAGAAACCCCAGUAGUCC